CCUCCUUCCGGGCACCGCCUUCUCUUCCGGGCGCCCGUGUGAACCCUCAGGCGCAGGCGUGGCCCUGUGCGUGCGCGGGCGAGGGAGAGGUGCACGGCGGUGUUCUUUAAGCGACGCUCUCUGGCGGCGCCUGGUGGAGCCUUCUUGGAAACCCGACGUGGGAGCCUACGUAUCCCGCAUUAACCUUCGCAAAAGGAGUUGAAUACUCCUUCGGGCCCCUCACCCAUAUGUGUGAUGAUGUCAUUACUCUGGUGACUAAAGAAACAUGUGCUUGUGAAUUGUUUUCUACAAGUUUCAAAGCUCCUUCCACCAAGAGGUAAAAUUAAUUUCCCCAUUCCUUGAAUCUGGACUGGCUCUGUGACUUGCCUUGCCCAAUUGAAUGCAGAGGUGGUGGUGUACAACUUCUAGGCAAGAUCUCAAGAGAUCUUAAAGCUUCUGCUCACACCUUCUUGGAACCCUGGUGCUGCCAUAUGAAGAAGCUUGACCUAGUCUCCUUGAGGAUGAAAGACUCAUGAAGAGGGGUCCGGCUGACAGCCAACAUCGACUGCUAAUGUGUAAGUGAGGCCAUAUUGGGUCACCCAAUCCCAGUUGAGCUGUCAGGUGAUUGCAGCCACAUAAGAGACCCUAGGCAAGACCAGCAGAAGAACUGUCUAGCUGAUCCCAACCCAUGUAUGUCAUCAACCCAUAGAAUCAUGAGCCAAUAAAAUGUUUUUCUUUUUAUAUUAUGAUUGAGAUAUUUGUGCC
This is a long non-coding RNA of Manis javanica (Malayan pangolin), 744 nucleotides long. RefSeq lists it as uncharacterized. Lineage: Eukaryota; Metazoa; Chordata; Mammalia; Pholidota; Manidae. The record is from RefSeq and is a predicted model, not a curated record.